CAGAUAUGUCUCUUGUUUCAACCGUGUUUGGACAAAACAGACCCAGGGAUGCCCCUUCAACCAGCCAAAGACCACCCUCCAACCUUUUUUCCAGUCGCAACCUUGGGAGCCAUCUUCUUGGCCACCUGCUGACUACAGGACCAAACAACAGCAAAUUUAAUGCUUACCUCAAAUCAACCAUGAGCUCGCAGAUUCAUCAGAAUUAUUCCACCAAGGCAGAGGCCGCCAUCAACCACCCAGUCAACGUGCAUCUGUGGGCCUCCUACAGCUACCUCUCUCUGGGCUUCUAUUUCCACCGUGACAACGUGGCUCUGGAGGGUGUGGGCCAUUUCUUCCACAAGUUGACUGAGGAGAAGUGCGAGGGUGCCCAGCAUCUCUUGAAGAUGCAAAACCAGAGUGGUGGCCACACCCUCUUCCAGGAUGUCCAGAAACCAUUCCAAGAUGAGUGGGGGAAAACCCUGGAUGCCACGGAAGCUGUACUGGUUCUGGAGAAGAGCCUGAAUGAGGCCCUUCUGGAUCUGCUUACCCUGGGUCCUGCCCGCACAGACCCCCAUCUCUGUGACUUCCUGGAGAACCACUUCCUAGAUGAGGAGGUGAAACUCAUCAAGAAGGUGGGCGACCACCUGAUGAACCUCCACCAGCCCCCAGACUGGGCUGGGCCAGUAUUUCUACUAGAGGCUCACUCUCAAGCAUGA
Enhydra lutris kenyoni (northern sea otter) is the source of this 695-nucleotide RNA transcript. It is a transcript of the gene named ferritin light chain pseudogene, with no coding region annotated. The transcript has a single exon. Lineage: Eukaryota; Metazoa; Chordata; Mammalia; Carnivora; Mustelidae. The record is from RefSeq and is a predicted model, not a curated record.